UACGGAGGGUGCAAGCGCUAUCCGGAUUCACUGGGUUUAAAGGGUGCGUAGGUGGGCAGGUAAGUCAGUGGUGAAAUCUCUGGGCUUAACUCAGAAACUGCCAUUGAUACUAUCUGUCUUGAAUACCGUGGAGGUCAGCGGAAUAUGUCAUGUAGCGGUGAAAUGCUUAGAUAUGACAUAGAACACCGAUUGCGAAGGCAGCUGGCUACACGAAUAUUGACACUGAUGCACGAAAGCGUGGGGAGCAAACAGG
This 253-nucleotide ribosomal RNA is filed under the name uncultured bacterium. RNAcentral describes it as "partial 16S ribosomal RNA". It matches the Rfam family "Bacterial small subunit ribosomal RNA", at positions 524 to 776 of the family's 1533-position model. The record is from RNAcentral.